This 223-nucleotide ribosomal RNA is filed under the name uncultured bacterium. RNAcentral's name for it is "partial 16S ribosomal RNA". It matches the Rfam family "Bacterial small subunit ribosomal RNA", at positions 328 to 539 of the family's 1533-position model. The record is from RNAcentral.
ACGCUCGACACCUACGGAGGCAGCAGUAGGGAAUCUUCCACAAUGGACGCAAGUCUGAUGGAGCAACGCCGCGUGAGUGAAGAAGGUUUUCGGAUCGUAAAGCUCUGUUGUUGGUGAAGAAGGAUAGAGGUAGUAACUGGCCUUUUAUUUAACGGUAAUCAACCAGAAAGUCACGGCUAACUACGUGCCGGCAGCCGCGGUAAUCUGAGCGGGCUGGCAAGGC